This 253-nucleotide ribosomal RNA is filed under the name uncultured bacterium. Its description in RNAcentral is "partial 16S ribosomal RNA". It matches the Rfam family "Bacterial small subunit ribosomal RNA", at positions 524 to 776 of the family's 1533-position model. The record is from RNAcentral.
UACGGGGGGGGCAAGCGUUGUUCGGAAUUACUGGGCGUAAAGGGCUCGUAGGCGGCCAACUAAGUCAGACGUGAAAUCCCUCGGCUUAACCGGGGAACUGCGUCUGAUACUGGAUGGCUUGGAUUUGGGAGAGGGAUGCGGAAUUCCAGGUGUAGCGGUGAAAUGCGUAGAUAUCGGGAGGAACACCAGUGGCGAAGGCGGCGACCUGGACGGACACUGACGCUGAGACGCGAAAGCGUGGGGAGCAAACAGG